GACAGCCCAAUCCACUACAUGACCCCUCCAACGAUCACUGUUUAGAAGUUAAACCCUUCACAUCAAGUCGCACAAUUGGAAGACUGAUUUAAAUCAUGUAGAAAAUGGGAAGUGUUCCUGUCUGCCGGUGAAGGAGUUGAAUAGAAGGAGUUGAAUAGAAGGUGUUGAAUAGAAGGUGUUGAAUAGAAGGUGUUGAAUAGAAGGUGUUGAAUAGAAGGAGUUGAAUAGAAGGAGUUGAAUAGAAGGUGUUGAAUAGAAGGAGUUGAAUAGAAGGAGUUGAAUAGAAGAUAACUGACUAAAGAUAGUUCCUUGGUGGACUGAAGCAUGUAAUAAGGCCAUCAUAGAUCAUCAUGCUUUUAAAACUUUGAAGAAUAAUUUGACAUUUGACAGUAUGAUUGUCUUUC
Molecule: long non-coding RNA, 404 nt
Organism: Oncorhynchus keta (chum salmon)
Lineage: Eukaryota; Metazoa; Chordata; Actinopteri; Salmoniformes; Salmonidae
Exons: 3
Source: RefSeq, a predicted model, not a curated record